CUUUCUUGGAUCUUCAAUUCAUUAAGUCAAGAUCUUGCCAACAAUGUGCUCUAUCUCGAGACACCUUUCGAAAUCUGGACAGAUCUACAAGAACGUUUCUCACAAGGUGAUUUUUCUCAUUACUGUCAACUUCAACGGUCCAUUGUUGAAUUGAAACAAAAUCAAGAAUCCAUUUUCACUUAUUGUACUAAGAUGAAGACAUUGUGGGAUAAAUUGAAGAAUUGCAGUCCAUCUGCUAUUUGUACUUGUGGAGGAUUGAGAUAUUUGAACGAAAAAGAAGAAAAAAUUAGGCUAUGACAAUUUCUUAUGGGAUUAAAUGAGUCCUACUCAGCUGUAAGAGAUUAAAUUAUGCUGAUGCAACCCUUACCUACUAUAAAGAAAGCUUAUUCUCUUCUAUGUGAAGAAGAAAAGCAAAGAGGACUAGUUGAAUAUAAGGGGGCAGAUCAAGUCCAUGCUAUGAAUGUCAAACCUCAGCCCAAUUUCAAACAACAAAGCUAUGAUCACCAACGCCAGGCCAAGUGGACACCCUCUCCCUCAAAACCUCAAGGGCCUAGAAAGCCACAGUUCUGCACUUACUGUGAUGGAACCACUCAUACGGUUGAAAGGUGCUACUACUUGAUUGGAUUUCCUGUUGGUCACAAGCUUCAUGGAAAAGAUGUUCAACCCCCAAAUCGAAAACAUAAAGUUGCUGCUAAUCAAACAAGCAGCGAGCCAGCUCAUAUUACAAAUAAAGUACCUGAUCAGUCAAUCCAAUUCACCUCUGAGGAGCUUUCUCAAAUCAAGGCAUUCCUCCGAAAUGGUAAAAGUUCUCCUUGUGCUAAUUAUACAGGUAUUCCAACGCCUUUUUGUUCUUCAUCCACUUUACGUUAUUUCAAAUCUGAUAACUGGAUUAUUGAUAGUGGUGCUACACAUCAUAUAACUUCCUCAAUGACUAGUGAUACUCCUAUGACUUCACAAGUUUCCUUACCAAAUGGUUCUCAGUCAACAAUCACUGGAGUUGGCACCGCUCAUCUUUCCGAUAAUUUACAUGUUAAAGAUGUUCUUUGUGUCCCUUCCUUUCAUGUCAAUCUUCCUUUUGUUAGCCAACUCACAUCUGCUCUAAAUUGUACCAUCCAAUUUUUUCCUAAUUUUUGUAUUUUGCAGGACCUAGAUUCGAAGAGGAUGAUUGGCCUGGGGAAAUAGGAUAAGGGAUUGUACUAUCUUGUGCCACAUUCAAAGUUGUCAUCAUCUAUACCAGUAACUUAUCAGGUCUCCAUUCCAUCAGCCAUCACUUGUCAUAAACGAUUGGGACAUCCUUCUAAAGCGCCAUCUCAAUUUUUGUGCAAACUGAUUCCUUCUUUUGUUUUUGAUUCUUAACAUUUAUGUGACGUUUGUCAUUUGGCAAAACAAACAAGAUUGUCAUUUCCUUUGAGUUCCAUUCAAUCUAAGCACUCUUUUGAUCUUAUACAUUGUGAUAUUUGGGGACAUCAUCGUGUUGAAACUCAUACGGGUGCACAUUAUUUUUUAACAAUUGUUGAUGAUCAUACUCGAUUCACAUGGAUAUUUUUUAUGAAAUUCAAAUCAGAAACCUAAAGUUUGCUGAAAUCAUUCAUUACAUAUGUCAACACUCAAUUCAAUUGUCAAAUUAAAUGUAUAUGAAGCGGCAAUGGCUUAGAAUUUACCUCAAUGAAACCUUUCUUUUCUAAUCUUCGCAUUUUGUUUCGAAGUUCUUGUACCUCUACACCACAACAAAAUGGUGUCGUGGAACGCAAACGUCGUCAUUUACUGAAUGUUGGUCGAGCUUUAAGAUGUCAAGCAAAUUUUCCUUUACGUUUUUGGGGAGAAAGUCUACUUACUGCCACCUACAUUAUUAAUCGUCUUCCUACACCAUUAUUACAUCAUAAAACUCCAUAUGAACUUUUAUAUAACAAACCUCCCAGUUACACACAUAUGCGAGUCUUUGGAUGCCUCUGUUAUGCUACUAAUCUUCAACCACUAACAAAAUUUUCUCCUCGUGCUCGUCAAUGUUUCUUUGUUGGUUAUCCUUCAGGACAAAAAGCCUAUCGUGUCUAUGAUCUUACUACUAGCCAAUUUUUUUCCAGUCGUGACGUAAUAUUCCAUGAAAACAUAUUCCCUUUUUCUACUUCCACUGCUGAAACACAAACUGAAAAUCUUCCAUUAUCUUCCAUACCUCCUUGCACAACUGAUAUAGAUUAUUCCCUUCCUUUACCUUUAUCAACUCUUGUUCCUUCAUCUUCUGACCUGUCAUCUUCUUCUCCAUCACCUGAUUUGCUAUAUAAUUCCUCGCCACCAUUCACCAAGUCUCCCUAUCUCUUCACCUCCAUCAAAUUCCUCUCCUACUACCCCUAUUCUUUGUCGCAGUGAUCGCCUAAGACAACCAUCUGUACUUCUUUGUGAUUUUCAUUGUGGUCAGGCUAGUACAUCAUCUUCUACAACAACUCAAGGCAUGUCAUCCUCUUCACGGCCAGGUACUCAUUAUCCCUCAACAAACUUUAUUUCCUAUGACUCAUUAUCUUUUUCCCAUAAAUCUUUUAUUAAUACCAUUUCCAGUACUCUUGAACCUACCACAUAUGAGCAAGCAGUUCAAGAUCCAAAAUGGCGUGAGGCCAUGAAACAUGAGCUCAUAGCUCUAGACAACCAACAUACUUGGUCUUUGGUUUUCGUUCCACCUGGACAUCGGCCAAUCGGCAACAAAUGAAUUUUUCACAUCAAGUAUAAUUCAAAUGGAACAGUGGAAUGUUAUAAAGCCCACAUAGUAGCCAAGGGCUUUAAUCAAACAGAGGGUUUGGAUUAUCAUGAGACUUUUGCCCCUAUAGCUAAGUUGACUACAGUUCGAUGUCUUCUUGCUUUACCUGCUAUUUGUAAUUGGCCUUUAUUUCAGAUGGAUGUUCAUAACGCCUUUCUUCAUGGUGACUUGGAUGAAGAGGUAUAUAUGACCCCGCCACCAGGACUCCGUCGACAGGCGGAGAAAAUGGUAUGUCGACUGUACAAAUCUCUCUACGGACUUAAACAAGCUCCUAGAAAUUGGUUUUCAAAGUUUUCAGAAGCAAUGAGGAAGGUUGGUUUUACUCAAUCUCAU
This 3079-nucleotide long non-coding RNA is filed under the name Olea europaea subsp. europaea. Lineage: Eukaryota; Viridiplantae; Streptophyta; Magnoliopsida; Lamiales; Oleaceae. The record is from RNAcentral.